This 93-nucleotide transfer RNA is filed under the name Aureobasidium subglaciale EXF-2481. It matches the Rfam family "tRNA". From Rfam's summary of the family: Transfer RNA (tRNA) molecules are approximately 80 nucleotides in length. Their secondary structure includes four short double-helical elements and three loops (D, anti-codon, and T loops). The record is from Rfam by way of RNAcentral. Lineage: Eukaryota; Fungi; Ascomycota; Dothideomycetes; Dothideales; Saccotheciaceae.
UCUUCCGUGGCGCAAUUGGCUAGCGCGUUCGACUGUUACUCCUAUGGGAUGCUGUCUAUCGAGAGGUUCCUGGUUCAAGCCCAGGCGGAAGAG